CUACGGGAUGCACCAGUGAGGAAUAUUGCACAAUGGGGGGAACCCUGAUGCAGCAACGCCGCGUGGAGGAUGACGCAUUUCGGUGUGUAAACUCCUUUUAUAUGUCAAGAAAAUGACGGUAGCAUAUGAAUAAGCACCGGCUAACUCCGUGCCAGCAGCCGCGGUAAUACGGAGGGUGCAAGCGUUACUCGGAAUCACUGGGCGUAAAGGACGCGUAGGCGGGUUGGAAAGUCAGGUGUGAAAUCCUACAGCUUAACUGUAGAACUGCACUUGAAACUUCUAAUCUAGAGUAUGGGAGGGGGAGAUGGGAUUAGUGGUGUAGGGGUAAAAUCCGUAGAUAUCACUAGGAAUACCUAAAGCGAAGGCGAUCUCCUGGAACAUUACUGACGCUAAGGCGUGAAAGCGUGGGGAGCAAACAGGAUUAGAUACCCCUGUAGUC
Molecule: ribosomal RNA, 439 nt
Filed under: uncultured bacterium
Lineage: Bacteria
Description: partial 16S ribosomal RNA
Rfam family: Bacterial small subunit ribosomal RNA
Source: RNAcentral